CGAAGGGGGCUAGCGUUGUUCGGAAUUACUGGGCGUAAAGCGCGCGUAGGCGGUUUUGCAAGCCAGAGGUGAAAUGCCUGAGCUCAACUUAGGAAUUGCCUUUGGGACUGCGAGGCUUUGAGGACUGGAGAGGUGAGUGGAAUUCCCAGUGUAGAGGUGAAAUUCGUAGAUAUUGGGAGGAACACCGGUGGCGAAGGCGGCUCACUGGCCAGUUUCUGACGCUGUAGCGCGAAAGCGUGGGGAUCAAACAGGAUUAGAUACCCUGGUAGUCCACGCUGUAAACGAUGAGUGCUAGGCGUCGGCAUGCUUGCAUGUCGGUGCCGCAGCUAACGCGUGAAGCACUCCGCCUGGGGAGUACGGUCGCAAGAUUA
This 371-nucleotide ribosomal RNA is filed under the name uncultured organism. Its description in RNAcentral is "bacterial SSU rRNA". It matches the Rfam family "Bacterial small subunit ribosomal RNA", at positions 526 to 896 of the family's 1533-position model. The record is from RNAcentral.